This 380-nucleotide ribosomal RNA is filed under the name uncultured eukaryote. RNAcentral's name for it is "partial 18S ribosomal RNA". It matches the Rfam family "Eukaryotic small subunit ribosomal RNA", at positions 592 to 976 of the family's 1831-position model. The record is from RNAcentral.
CAAUAGCGUAUAUUAAAGUUGUUGCGGUUAAAAAGCUCGUAGUUGGAUUUCUGCUGAGAACGACCGGUCCGCCCUUUGGGUGUGUAUCUGGCUCUUUCUUGGCAUCUUCUUGGUGAACGUUGCUGCACUUGACUGUGUGGAGCGCUACCCAGGACUUUUACUUUGAGGAAAUUAGAGUGUUUCAAGCAGGCAUACGCCUUGAAUACAUUAGCAUGGAAUAAUAAGAUAGGACCUCGGUUCUAUUUUGUUGGUUUCUAGAGCUGAGGUAAUGAUUAAUAGGGAUAGUUGGGGGCAUUCGUAUUUAACUGUCAGAGGUGAAAUUCUUGGAUUUGUUUAAGACGGACUACUGCGAAAGCAUUUGCCAAGGAUGUUUUCAUUGA